UUCCUCUGUUAAAUUAACGCUAGCGGGCUGCUUUACACACGCAAGUUGAAGGGCUGCACGAGAGAAAGUUGCUCUUUUUGUUGAGAAUCGGCGGAGGGGUGAUUAAUGUAUGGAGAUCUGCCAGAUAGAGGGGGUAUAAUUCUCGGAAGAGGUGGUUAUUACGCCAUAAUCUUUCGGGAGAAAAGCAGGGAUUCUUCGGAACCUGUCACUAUCGGAUGAAGCCCAUAUGGGAUUAGCUAGUAGGUGGGGUAAAGGGCUCACCAAGGCAACGAUCUCGUAGCUGGUCUGAGAGGAUGAUCCACCCACACUGGGACUGAGACACGGCCCCAGACUCUACGGGAAGGCAGCAUGGGGAAUUUUGCACAAUGGGGGCAACCCUGAUCCAGCCAUGCCGCGUGUAUGAAGAAGGCCCUUAGGGGUGUAAAAUUAUUUUUGGCAGAGAAGAAGAUGAUAUCUCUUAAUACCAGAUCAAUUGACGUUACUCCGCAGAAGUAGCACCGGCUAACUCCGUGCCAGCAGCCGCGGUAAUACGGAGGGUGCAAGCGUUAAUCGGAAUUACUGGGCUAAAGCGCAGGUAGGCGGUUAAGUAAGUAAGAUGUGAAAUCCCAGAGCUCAACUUGGGAAUUGCAUUUUAAACUGGUGAGCUAGAGUAUGUUAGAGGGGGGUAGAAUUCCAUGUGUAGGCAUGAAAAGGGUAGAAUAUGGGAGGGAAUACCGGUGGGGAAGGGCAGCCCCCUGGAGAUAAUACUGACGCUCAGAUCCGAAAAGCGUGGGGAGCAAAACAGGAUUAGAUACCCUGGUAGUCCACGCCGUAAACGAUGUCGAUUUAGAUGUUGGGGUCGUGAGGCCUGAGUUGCGCAGCUAACGCGUAAUUGACCGCCUGGGAGUAACGUGCACAUGG
RNAcentral lists this ribosomal RNA (900 nucleotides) under Alcaligenes faecalis. RNAcentral describes it as "bacterial SSU rRNA". It matches the Rfam family "Bacterial small subunit ribosomal RNA", at positions 16 to 893 of the family's 1533-position model. The record is from RNAcentral. Lineage: Bacteria; Pseudomonadati; Pseudomonadota; Betaproteobacteria; Burkholderiales; Alcaligenaceae.